GACGAACGCUGGCGGCGUGCUUAACACAUGCAAGUCGUGCGGUAAGGCCCUUUCGGGGGUACACGAGCGGCGAACGGGUGAGUAACACGUGAGCAACCUGCCCUUCACUUUGGGAUAACUGCCGGAAACGGUGGCUAAUACCGGAUAUGACUUCCUCACGCAUGUGGGGUGGUGGAAAGCCUUCGGGGGGUGGGGGAUGGGCUCGCGGUCUAUUAGCUUGUUGGUGGGGUGAUGGCCUACCAAGGCUUCGACGGGUAGCCGCCCUGGGAGGGGGACCGGCACAUCGGGGCCGGGGUCACGGCCCAGACUCCUCGGGGGGGCAGCGGGGGGAAUAAUUGGACAAGGGGGGAAGGCCUGUGCAGGCACCGCGGGGUGGGGGAUGACGGCCUUCGGGUGGUAAACGUCUUUCGCUUGGGACGAAGCGGGGGUGACGGAAUGAGGAAAAGAGGCACCGGCCACUUACGU
RNAcentral lists this ribosomal RNA (465 nucleotides) under uncultured bacterium. Its description in RNAcentral is "partial 16S ribosomal RNA". It matches the Rfam family "Bacterial small subunit ribosomal RNA", at positions 28 to 506 of the family's 1533-position model. The record is from RNAcentral.